AAGUCGAACGAUGAAAGCCUCUUCGGAAGUGUAUGAAGUGGCGUAAGGGCGAGGAAUAUAUUUCUAUGUACCCCAAAGUCAAGGAUAGCCCAGGGAAACUUGGUGUAAUACUUGAUGUGGUCUCCGGAUCAAAGAUUUAUCGCUUUGGGAGCAGGGAAUAUCCUAUCAGGUAGUUGGUGAGGUAACGGCUCACCAAGCCAAAGACGGGUAGCGGGUGUGAGAGCAUGACCCGCCGCAUCGGGACUGAGACACUGCCCGGACUCCUACGGGAGGCUGCAGUAACGAAUAUUCCGCAAUGAGCGAAAGCUUGACGGAGCAAUGCCGCGUGUAGGAUGAAUCUCCUUGGAGUGUAAACUACUGUCAGAGACUAGGAACUCAAUGACCAAUCUCAAAGGGAGGGCCGGCUAACUUCGUGCCAGCAGCCGCGGUAAUACGAAGGGCCCGAGCGUUAUUCGGAAUCACUGGGCUUAAAGCGUGCGUAGGCGGACUUGUAGGCGUUUUGUGAAAUCCCUCGGCUCAACCGAGGAACUGCAGAGCGAACCCCAAGCCUUGAGACAGAUAGAGGUUGUCGGAACGAUUGGUGGAGUGGUGAAAUGCGUUGAUAUCAAUCGGAACGCCAAAUGAGAAGUCAGGCAACUGGAUCUGUUCUGACGCUGAGGCACGAAAGCGUGGGUAGCGAACGGGAUUAGAUACCCCGGUAGUCCACGCCGUAAACAAUGUGCACUAGGUCGAGGGCGUUCUGACGCGACUCUCGGCCGAAGCGAAAGUGUUAAGUGCACCGCCUGGGGAGUACGGUCGCAAGGCUAAAACUCAAAGGAAUUGACGGGGGCUCACACAAGCGGUGGAGCAUGUGCUUAUUCGAAGCACGCGAAGAACCUUAUCCUAGGUUUGACAUACACGGAUUAGCUAUAAGAAACUAUAGUGACACCUUCAGGUGAACGUGAACAGGUGCG
RNAcentral lists this ribosomal RNA (953 nucleotides) under uncultured bacterium. RNAcentral describes it as "bacterial SSU rRNA". It matches the Rfam family "Bacterial small subunit ribosomal RNA", at positions 59 to 1042 of the family's 1533-position model. The record is from RNAcentral.